UACGAAGGGGGCUAGCGUUGUUCGGAAUUACUGGGCGUAAAGCGCACGUAGGCGGAUAUUUAAGUCAGGGGUGAAAUCCCGGGGCUCAACCCCGGAACGGCCUUUGAUACUGGAUGUCUUGAGUCCGGAAGAGGUGAGUGGAAUUGCGAGUGUAGAGGUGAAAUUCGUAGAUAUUCGCAGGAAUACCAGUGGCGAAGGCGGCUCACUGGUCCGGAACUGACGCUGAGGUGCGAAAGCGUGGGGAGCAAACAGG
RNAcentral lists this ribosomal RNA (253 nucleotides) under uncultured bacterium. RNAcentral's name for it is "partial 16S ribosomal RNA". It matches the Rfam family "Bacterial small subunit ribosomal RNA", at positions 524 to 776 of the family's 1533-position model. The record is from RNAcentral.